AACGAACGCUGGCGGCGCGCCUAAUACAUGCAAGUCGAGCGAGAAGACGUAGCAAUACGUUUGUAAAGCGGCGAACGGGUGAGGAAUACAUGGGUAACCUACCCUCGAGUGGGGAAUAACUAGCCGAAAGGUUAGCUAAUACCGCGUACGCUCCUUGGACUUCGGUUCAGGGAGGAAAGCGAUACCGUGGGUAUCGCGCUCUUGGAUGGGCUCAUGUCCUAUCAGCUUGUUGGUGAGGUAACGGCUCACCAAGGCUUCGACGGGUAGCUGGUCUGAGAGGACAAUCAGCCACACUGGCACUGCGACACGGGCCAGACUCCUACGGGAGGCAGCAGUAAGGAAUAUUGCGCAAUGGGCGAAAGCCUGACGCAGCGACGCCGCGUGGGGGAUGAAGGUCUUCGGAUUGUAAACCCCUUUCGGGAGGGAAGAUGGAACGAGCAAUCGUUCGGACGGUACC
This 457-nucleotide ribosomal RNA is filed under the name uncultured bacterium. Its description in RNAcentral is "bacterial SSU rRNA". It matches the Rfam family "Bacterial small subunit ribosomal RNA", at positions 29 to 479 of the family's 1533-position model. The record is from RNAcentral.